GUGUCAGCCGCCGCGGUAAUACGGAGGGUCCGAGCGUUAUCCGGAUUUAUUGGGUUUAAAGGGUGCGUAGGCGGUUUUAUAAGUCAGCGGUGAAAUUUUCCGGCUCAACCGGGAUACUGCCGUUGAUACUGUAAGGCUAGGAUAUGGUUGCUGUGGGUGGAAUGUGUGGUGUAGCGGUGAAAUGCUUAGAGAUCACACAGAAUAUCGAUUGCGAAGGCAGCUCACAAAGCCAUUAUUGACGCUGAGGCACGAAAGUGUGGGGAUCAAACAGGAUUAGAUACCCUGGUAGUCCACACUGUAAACGAUGAUAACUCGCUGUCGGCGAUAUAAAGUCGGUGGCCAAGCGAAAGCGAUAAGUUAUCCACCUGGGGAGUACGACCGCAAGGUUGAAACUCAAAGGAAUUGACGG
This 409-nucleotide ribosomal RNA is filed under the name uncultured bacterium. Its description in RNAcentral is "bacterial SSU rRNA". It matches the Rfam family "Bacterial small subunit ribosomal RNA", at positions 505 to 916 of the family's 1533-position model. The record is from RNAcentral.